RNAcentral lists this ribosomal RNA (363 nucleotides) under Enterococcus faecium. Its description in RNAcentral is "bacterial SSU rRNA". It matches the Rfam family "Bacterial small subunit ribosomal RNA", at positions 1171 to 1533 of the family's 1533-position model. Lineage: Bacteria; Bacillati; Bacillota; Bacilli; Lactobacillales; Enterococcaceae. The record is from RNAcentral.
AGGUGGGGAUGACGUCAAAUCAUCAUGCCCCUUAUGACCUGGGCUACACACGUGCUACAAUGGGAAGUACAACGAGUUGCGAAGUCGCGAGGCUAAGCUAAUCUCUUAAAGCUUCUCUCAGUUCGGAUUGCAGGCUGCAACUCGCCUGCAUGAAGCCGGAAUCGCUAGUAAUCGCGGAUCAGCACGCCGCGGUGAAUACGUUCCCGGGCCUUGUACACACCGCCCGUCACACCACGAGAGUUUGUAACACCCGAAGUCGGUGAGGUAACCUUUUGGAGCCAGCCGCCUAAGGUGGGAUAGAUGAUUGGGGUGAAGUCGUAACAAGGUAGCCGUAUCGGAAGGUGCGGCUGGAUCACCUCCUUU